This 459-nucleotide ribosomal RNA is filed under the name uncultured bacterium. RNAcentral describes it as "partial 16S ribosomal RNA". It matches the Rfam family "Bacterial small subunit ribosomal RNA", at positions 338 to 795 of the family's 1533-position model. The record is from RNAcentral.
CCUACGGGAGGCAGCAGUGAGGAAUAUUGGUCAAUGGCCGAGAGGCUGAACCAGCCAAGUCGCGUGAGGGAAGAAUGUCCUAUGGAUUGUAAACCUCUUUUGUCAGGGAGCAAAGUCACCCACGUGUGGGUGUUGGAGAGUACCUGAAGAAAAAGCAUCGGCUAACUCCGUGCCAGCAGCCGCGGUACUACGGAGGAUGCGAGCGUUAUCCGGAUUUAUUGGGGUUAAAGGGUGCGUAGGCGGGUUAUCAAGUCAGCGGUAAAAUCGUGGGGCCAAACUCCAUCCAGCCGUUGAUACUGAUGAGCUUGAGUGGGGGAGAAGUAUGCGGAAUGCGAGGUGUAGCGGUGAAAUGCGUAGAGAUCACGCGGAACUCCGAUGGCGAAGGCAGCAUACCGGCGGCGAACUGACGCUGAGGCACGAAAGCGUGGGUAUCGAACAGGAUUAGAUACCCCAGUAGUC